Molecule: ribosomal RNA, 438 nt
Filed under: uncultured bacterium
Lineage: Bacteria
Description: partial 16S ribosomal RNA
Rfam family: Bacterial small subunit ribosomal RNA
Source: RNAcentral
CUACGGGGUGCACCAGUGAGGAAUAUUGCACAAUGGGGGGAACCCUGAUGCAGCAACGCCGCGUGGAGGAUGACGCAUUUCGGUGUGUAAACUCCUUUUAUAUGUCAAGAAAAUGACGGUAGCAUAUGAAUAAGCACCGGCUAACUCCGUGCCAGCAGCCGCGGUAAUAGGAGGGUGCAAGCGUUACUCGGAAUCACUGGGCGUAAAGGACGCGUAGGCGGGCUGGAAAGUCAGGUGUGAAAUCCUACAGCUUAACUGUAGAACUGCACUUGAAACUUCUAAUCUAGAGUAUGGGAGGGGGAGAUGGAAUUAGUGGUGUAGGGGUAAAAUCCGUAGAUAUCACUAGGAAUACCUAAAGCGAAGGCGAUCUCCUGGAACAUUACUGACGCUAAGGCGUGAAAGCGUGGGGAGCAAACAGGAUUAGAUACCCCGGUAGUC